UACGUAGGGUGCGAGCGUUGCCCGGAAUUAUUGGGCGUAAAGGGCUCGUAGGCGGUUUGUCGCGUCGGGAGUGAAAACCAGGUGCUCAACACCUGGCUUGCUUUCGAUACGGGCAGACUAGAGGUAUUCAGGGGAGAACGGAAUUCCUGGUGUAGCGGUGAAAUGCGCAGAUAUCAGGAGGAACACCGGUGGCGAAGGCGGUUCUCUGGGCAUUACCUGACGCUGAGGAGCGAAAGUGUGGGGAGCGAACAGG
RNAcentral lists this ribosomal RNA (253 nucleotides) under uncultured bacterium. RNAcentral describes it as "partial 16S ribosomal RNA". It matches the Rfam family "Bacterial small subunit ribosomal RNA", at positions 524 to 776 of the family's 1533-position model. The record is from RNAcentral.